AUGUAUUGUGCGGUGAAUUGCAUUGAAAAUCUUUAUAUUGCCAAUUACAUAAAGACAAGGAAACAAAUAGAAGAUGAAGAGAAUACUAAUGAAAGGGAAGAAAUUUCCCAAUAUCCUCCUAUUCUUUCUUAUGAUGAAUCAGGUAACGAGGAGGCUCUUUCUAUUCAACCAAUCUCAAUAAUAAGGAGCUCCAAAAAGAGGAUUAAACCCACAUAUAAUGUGGAGAAGAAAAAUAAAAGAUGGAGAAGCAAAGGUAAAAAGGUAUCCAUCCCAAAUGAUGUUGCUCCUAUUACUCAUUGUGAUGAUAAUAAUUGCUAUACUAUUGGUGCUACUCAUACUAUUAAUGAUGAGAGUGAUUAUGCUUAUGAUAUGCAAAGGCCCAAGCUUGGGGAUGCUAUGUUUGAUGAGAAUGACAUGUUUGAGAAUUUAUUUGCUGCAAUUAAUGUUUUGCCCAAGCUUGGGGAUGCUAUGUUUAAUGAAGAUGAUAUUUUUAGUCUCCUAAGUUUUGUUAUGCAAAUUUAUUAUGACGAUAGCAUGCCUCCUAUUUAUGAUGAUUAUUGUGAUGAUACUUAUGCUAUAAAAAGUAGUGAUGAUUAUAUUUAUAAAACUUGUCAUGAUUACGAUUGCCCUUUUUAUGAACAUUACUCUUUUAAUGUGGAAAAAAUGUAUAGUAUUCGAGUUUCUUAUGAUACUCCCACUAUUCCGAACGAGAAGAAAUUUGCUUAUGUGGAGAGUAAUAAAAAUUCUAUGCUUGUGGCUCAUGAAAAUAAUGCUUUAUGUGAUAGUUAUAUUGUUGAAUUCAUUUAUGAUGCUACUGAAAAUUAUUAUGAGGGAGGAAUAUAUGCUUGUAGGAAUUGCAAUAAUAUCAAGUUUCGUCUGUAUGUGUUGAAAAUCUUGAAGCUAUGCUUGUUUUGCUUUCCUAUGCUAGCUGAUUCUUGUUCCCAUAACUUGUUUGCUCACAAAAUCCCUAUGCAUAGGAAGUGGGUUAGACUUAAAUGUGAUAGUCAUAUUAUUCAUGAUGCUCUCUUUGUGUGUCUUAAUUCUUAUCUUUUAUGUGAGCAUCAUUGUCAUCAUCAUGCCUAG
RNAcentral lists this ribosomal RNA (1083 nucleotides) under Triticum aestivum (bread wheat). Its description in RNAcentral is "partial small subunit ribosomal RNA". The record is from RNAcentral. Lineage: Eukaryota; Viridiplantae; Streptophyta; Magnoliopsida; Poales; Poaceae.